Molecule: ribosomal RNA, 795 nt
Filed under: uncultured bacterium
Lineage: Bacteria
Description: bacterial SSU rRNA
Rfam family: Bacterial small subunit ribosomal RNA
Source: RNAcentral
GGACGAACGCUGGCGGCGUGCCUAAUGCAUGCAAGUCGAACGCAUUCUUCGGAAUGAGUGGCGCACGGCUGAGGAACACGUGACUAACUUACUUCGGUGUGGGGGAUAACGGGUCGAAAGACUCGCUAAUCCCGCAUACGAUAUCCUUUGGAUAGGAAAGCCUUACGGCGCACUGGGCGGGGGUCGCGUCCCAUUAGAUGGUUGGUGUGGUAAUGGCGCACCAAGUCGAUGAUGGGUCUCUGGUCUGAGAGGACGACCAGACAGAUUGGGACUGAGACACGGCCCAAACUCCUACGGGGGGCAGCAGCAAGGAAUUUUCGGCAAUGGGCGCAAGCCUGACCGAGCAACGCCGCGUGGAGGAUGACGGCUCUUGGGUUGUAAACUCCUUUUGGGGGGGACGAUAAUGACGGUACCCUCCGAAUCAGGCCCGGCUAACUACGUGCCAGCAGCCGCGGUAAUACGUAGGGGCCAAGCGUUGUCCGGAAUUACUGGGCGUAAAGCGUGGGUAGGUGGUCGGUGAUGUGCCGCGUGAAAGCGCCGGAGUAAUGCCGGCGAGGUCGCGGUAGACACACGGACUAGAGGCUCGCAGAGGAACGUGGAAUUCCCGGUGUAGUGGUGAAAUGCGUAGAUAUCGGGAGGAACACCAGUGGCGCAAGCGGCGUUCUGGGCGAGACCUGACACUGAGCCACGACGGCGAGGGGAGCAAACAGGAUUAGAUACCCUGGUAGUCCACGCAGUAAACGAUGCAUACCAGGUGUGGGAUGGCGUUCGCGUCGUUCCGUGCCGCAGCUUACG